UACGGAGGGUCCAAGCGUUAUCCGGAAUCAUUGGGUUUAAAGGGUCCGUAGGCGGUUUUGUAAGUCAGUGGUGAAAGCCCAUCGCUCAACGGUGGAACGGCCAUUGAUACUGCAAGACUUGAAUUAUUAGGAAGUAACUAGAAUAUGUAGUGUAGCGGUGAAAUGCUUAGAGAUUACAUGGAAUACCAAUUGCGAAGGCAGGUUACUACUAAAUGGAUUGACGCUGAUGGACGAAAGCGUGGGGAGCGAACAGG
RNAcentral lists this ribosomal RNA (254 nucleotides) under uncultured bacterium. RNAcentral's name for it is "partial 16S ribosomal RNA". It matches the Rfam family "Bacterial small subunit ribosomal RNA", at positions 524 to 776 of the family's 1533-position model. The record is from RNAcentral.